RNAcentral lists this transfer RNA (73 nucleotides) under Rattus norvegicus (Norway rat). It matches the Rfam family "tRNA". Rfam says of the family: Transfer RNA (tRNA) molecules are approximately 80 nucleotides in length. Their secondary structure includes four short double-helical elements and three loops (D, anti-codon, and T loops). Lineage: Eukaryota; Metazoa; Chordata; Mammalia; Rodentia; Muridae. The record is from Rfam by way of RNAcentral.
GUUGAGAUGGUUCAGUGGUUAAGAGCACUGGAUUUUCUUCCAAAGAACCUAGGUUCAAAUCUCAGCAUCCACA